AAAUACCCACAGCCGAAGUCCUCAGCAGAAUCAGCUCCAGGAGGACUCCGCCCGGACUCCUAUGGGAGCCGGACUCCGCCAACAACCUCAACCGCAAGUAGACUCCGCCCGGACUCCUACAGGAGUCGGGCUCCAUCCUCAACAUCAGCUGCCGAUAAGCCUUGUCCGGACUCCUACGGGAGCCGGACUUCACCUUUAACUUUAAUUGCAAGAAGACUCCGUCCGGACUCCUACGGGAGUCGGGCUUCGUCCUCGACUCCAACGGCUGCAGACAGACUUCGUCCGGACUCCUACGGGAGCCGGACUCCGCCAACAACCUCAACCGCAAGUAGACUCCGCCC
Molecule: long non-coding RNA, 341 nt
Filed under: Elaeis guineensis (African oil palm)
Lineage: Eukaryota; Viridiplantae; Streptophyta; Magnoliopsida; Arecales; Arecaceae
Description: long non-coding RNA (EGUI_LNC082800)
Source: RNAcentral